GGCCCGUUCGUCUAGGGGUUAGGACGUCAGGUUUUCAUCCUGGUAACAGCAGUUCGAGUCUGCUACGGGCUACCA
RNAcentral lists this transfer RNA (75 nucleotides) under Candidatus Peregrinibacteria bacterium. Its description in RNAcentral is "tRNA-Glu". It matches the Rfam family "tRNA". From Rfam's summary of the family: Transfer RNA (tRNA) molecules are approximately 80 nucleotides in length. Their secondary structure includes four short double-helical elements and three loops (D, anti-codon, and T loops). RNAcentral also lists the same sequence under 1 other name. Lineage: Bacteria; Candidatus Peregrinibacteriota. The record is from RNAcentral.